GUGGGGAAUAUUGGACAAUGGGCGCAAGCCUGAUCCAGCCAUGCCGCGUGAGUGAUGAAGGCCUUAGGGUUGUAAAGCUCUUUCAGUGGGGACGAUAAUGACGGUACCCACAGAAGAAGCCCCGGCUAACUUCGUGCCAGCAGCCGCGGUAAUACGAAGGGGGCUAGCGUUGUUCGGAUUUACUGGGCGUAAAGCGCACGUAGGCGGAUCGUUAAGUCUGGGGUGAAAUCCUGGAGCUCAACUCCAGAACUGCCUUCGAUACUGGCGAGCUUGAGUCCGGAAGAGGUGAGUGGAACUCCUAGUGUAGAGGUGGAAUUCGUAGAUAUUAGGAAGAACACCAGUGGCGAAGGCGGCUCACUGGUCCGGUACUGACGCUGAGGUGCGAAAGCGUGGGGAGCAAACAGGAUUAGAUACCCUAGUAGUCC
RNAcentral lists this ribosomal RNA (425 nucleotides) under uncultured bacterium. RNAcentral's name for it is "partial 16S ribosomal RNA". It matches the Rfam family "Bacterial small subunit ribosomal RNA", at positions 354 to 796 of the family's 1533-position model. The record is from RNAcentral.